AGUGUGUGUGUGUGUGUGUGUUUUGUUGUGGAAAUUCAACUUCAAAAUCUGAGAAACCCUGGAAUCCAAAAAGGGGCAAUCUUUGUUGUGUAGUUUACAGAUUUGCUGUGCUAAUAUAAUAUGUUAUAUUAAGGCUCUAUAGUUUGAUUGGUAUGGUGGCUCUACAUCCUGAUACUUUGUGAUAGAAAUCAUGUGUAAUAAAGCAUGCUUCCAGGGAUUGGAAAAGCUGUCACAAGGUAUUUUUAUAUUUCCGGAUUCUGGUCUUGUUGUAAACUUGUAAUGAUGGCUUUUGAACUAAGAAUCAUGACAGAGUCACAGAGAGAAAUUCCUAAUGAGAAAUAUAAGUUCGACAUAGUUUCUGUGGCUAUAGCAUAAUCCCUUGGCCUUGACAUAGUUGCAAAUGAACUGCAGGAUUCACUAGGAAGGUUAUUACUAUUUGGCUUAUCGCUUAAGUAUUUUGUUCAUUUAGAUGAUAAAUUGUGGAGUGGCAGAUACAAAAGCAGUUAUAUCGGACCUGCUUAUAUAGUGCAUAAUGUUGAAGUUAUUGCUAGUUUUAUCAGCUGUAAUUUCUAGUCCUGGCACACACGAAGGUUCAUAAUGACAAUGAGUAACUUAUGGGUGCAAAAAAUUUAAUUAGCAUGUUGGCUAUUUCAUAUUGCUUUUCACUGCACCCUUUUCCUUUUAGCCAGCCACUUCUUAAUAUAACAAAUGACAAAUCCUGUUUAAAGAAGUGUUAUCUCCUCAAAGGAUUAGGAUUUGUCUCUAAUACUAUGUUUCACUUGUUUUUUAAUCCAUGUGAUAGGAAAAGAAAAGAAAUAAGAGGUUAGAUAUUUCCCAUGUUUGGGAAUUUCAAGGGAUGGGAAAAGAUUUUAAGUAUUAAGUGUAUAAUUGUCAUAUUUAAAAAAUAGUUUUAAAUAUGGAGGAAAGGAUAACUCUUAUGCCCUCAAUUUUGAUGGGAAAACAA
RNAcentral lists this unclassified non-coding RNA (964 nucleotides) under Hevea brasiliensis (rubber tree). Lineage: Eukaryota; Viridiplantae; Streptophyta; Magnoliopsida; Malpighiales; Euphorbiaceae. The record is from RNAcentral.